AUGCCGCCCGCCACCAUGGCGCCCGAGCAGGGGGUCCGCUCUAUGAUGAGCUCUGGCACGCCUGUGUCGGCCCUCUCAUCACCGUCCCAUGAGUCAGGGACCUCGUCUUCUACUUCCCGCAGGGCCACAUCGAGCAGGUCGGAUCUGUCGAGUUCUCCCGCUGCACCCUGGCACCGAGCCGCCAUUUGCUGCCGCCCGUGGUCACCAUCACUGGGAGGAGCGACGGCAGUCCAUGUCGUCAUUGCCAUCGUCCUUCAGCUGAAGAAAAUGUGCAAGGAGGGCGCAUAUUGGGGUGCUGUUGCUAGAGUGUAUGUAGGCAUGGAGUAUGGAGUGGAAAGGGUCCGCGGAGAGUAUGGCUGGAUGCGGCAGCUCAAGGGCGAGGUUGACAUCUUCUCCAGGGCCGAUGGGUCGGCGCUAUUCGAGAUGGGCAACACCAGGGUCAUCGCCGCCGUCUAUGGCCCCUGA
Molecule: ribosomal RNA, 465 nt
Filed under: Triticum aestivum (bread wheat)
Lineage: Eukaryota; Viridiplantae; Streptophyta; Magnoliopsida; Poales; Poaceae
Description: partial small subunit ribosomal RNA
Source: RNAcentral